CCCUUAGACGUUCUGGGCCGCACGCGCGCUACACUGACCAGUGCAACAAGCAUCCGUCCUUGGCCGACAGGCCCGGGCAAUCUUUGAACGCUGGUCGUGGUGGGGAUAGACUUUUGCAAUUUUUGGUCUUCAACGAGGAAUUCCUAGUAAACGCAAGUCAUCAACUUGCAUUGAUUACGUCCCUGCCCUUUGUGCACACCGCCCGUCGCACCUACCGAUUGAAUGGUCCGGUGAAGCCUCCGGAUUGGCGCGCACCUCGGUGCCGCCGAGAAGUUGGCUAAACCUUACCAUUUAGAGGAAGGUGAAGUCGUAACA
RNAcentral lists this ribosomal RNA (315 nucleotides) under uncultured eukaryote. RNAcentral's name for it is "partial 18S ribosomal RNA". It matches the Rfam family "Eukaryotic small subunit ribosomal RNA", at positions 1470 to 1796 of the family's 1831-position model. The record is from RNAcentral.